Molecule: long non-coding RNA, 627 nt
Organism: Oncorhynchus tshawytscha (Chinook salmon)
Lineage: Eukaryota; Metazoa; Chordata; Actinopteri; Salmoniformes; Salmonidae
Source: Ensembl
CUUGGAUUGUGUACUGAACGCGCGAACAACAAGGAGGUAUUUGAACAUAAAUGAUGGACAUUAUCAAACAAAACAAACAUUUAUUAUGAUGAUCAUCAAAGGUGAGGCGCUGCAGUGCUAUGGCUGUAACAUCCUCCAGGGGCAGAUGUACGUGGAUGUGGGCUGCUCCAGCCCCAAGGUCAUCACUUGCUCCCACUCACACAAAGGCUUCAAGCACCGCUUCUGCAUUAAGACGGAGAGCAGUGCCAUGGGAAUCAUUCUGACCAGCGGUUGUGCCACGUCUCAGCACUGCCAACAGGAGCUACCCGGGGUGUGGAUCCACUGCUGUGUUUCAGACCUUUGCAACAGCACCCCCCACUGGCGCAGAACGACCUUACACUGGCUGUGCUCUUUGGCUACCCUGCUGCUGGUACUGUGGCUGCAAGUGUGAGAGAGAAUUUUGGAGCAGAGAAACACUGACUAACCCCCACUUCAGCCCUACUGUGUCCUAGACCAAAGCCAUUGGAGGAUCAAUAAGAGGCAUGCACCUGCAUGGAUACCUAGUGGAUGAGAAUACAAUCUUUAUGCAUUGGCAAGCCUGUGAAUAUUGUUAUUUUCAGUUUCCAUGUGCAUCAUAUUCUUUACGAG